RNAcentral lists this unclassified non-coding RNA (347 nucleotides) under soil metagenome. RNAcentral describes it as "partial contains 5.8S ribosomal RNA, internal transcribed spacer 2, and large subunit ribosomal RNA". The stretch from base 1 to 119 matches the Rfam family "5.8S ribosomal RNA", at positions 35 to 154 of the family's 154-position model. The record is from RNAcentral.
GAUGAAGAACGUAGCGAAAUGCGAUACGUAAUGUGAAUUGCAAAUUCAGUGAAUCAUCGAGUCUUUGAACGCACAUUGCGCCCGCUGGUAUUCCGGCGGGCAUGCCUGUUCGAGCGUCAUUUCAACCCUCAAGCCCCCGGGUUUGGUGUUGGGGAUCGGCUCUGCCCUUCUGGGCGGUGCCGCCCCCGAAAUACAUUGGCGGUCUCGCUGCAGCCUCCAUUGCGUAGUAGCUAACACCUCGCAACUGGAACGCGGCGCGGCCAUGCCGUAAAACCCCAACUUCUGAAUGUUGACCUCGGAUCAGGUAGGAAUACCCGCUGAACUUAAGCAUAUCAAUAAGCGGAGGA